GCUGGGAUAGCUCAGUUGGUAGAACAUGAGACUCAUAGUCUCAGGGUUGGGGGUUCGAGCCCCACAUUGGGCA
This is a non-coding RNA of Podarcis lilfordi (Lilford's wall lizard), 73 nucleotides long. Lineage: Eukaryota; Metazoa; Chordata; Lepidosauria; Squamata; Lacertidae. The record is from the annotation of a GenBank genome assembly.